CACAUGGAGAGAAAAGAAGGAGAUGGAAAGGUGUAUAUACAGAGAGGAAAUGAGAGUAUGGCUUGUCGGCCAUUAAAGUUCCAAGGACGAGCUAAAGUUCGUCCCUUUUCAAUUGCUUUCGUUUCGUUUCAAUGUCUCUAAUACGAAACCACAAAAAAUCUCUCUUUUUUGUUUCGUUGCACUUUUGGUUGUUUGUUUUGUUUCUCAUAACCAAGAGGAAAGAGUGUAAGAGUUUUUUUUUAUUAAAUCUUCUGGGUCCAAAAUCUUGGACCUUAGAUCCGAAGAUCCCCACCAUUUGUGGCGAAAGGUGAACUGGGUUCGCUUUUGGUUUUCUCUGUCGAUUAAUGAAUUCCACAGUUUCUUUCUCCCUGUGGUCUCAAGGAGUAACAGCGAAGUGGUGCAGUUGUUGCUUUUACUGUGUCUUCUUUGACGAGUGAUUGAUUGAUCAUUUGGCUUAAACAGAUUUGAAAGUAUCUCAUUAUGCUAUAAUCAUGAUAAAGCUGAGGCAUAAUAAAAUGUCAGCACAUAUCAAAUCAAGGAGAACUUUUGAAGCAGGGUUUACA
This 563-nucleotide unclassified non-coding RNA is filed under the name Hevea brasiliensis (rubber tree). Lineage: Eukaryota; Viridiplantae; Streptophyta; Magnoliopsida; Malpighiales; Euphorbiaceae. The record is from RNAcentral.